Molecule: long non-coding RNA, 1092 nt
Organism: Carya illinoinensis
Lineage: Eukaryota; Viridiplantae; Streptophyta; Magnoliopsida; Fagales; Juglandaceae
Exons: 4
Source: RefSeq, a predicted model, not a curated record
UAGGAAAAAGUACAGGCGCCAAAAUCUGCUCAACAUUUUAUUCCCCCACCCCCUUCUCCACUUCCAUGCCUUCCCCAAUAUUUCGGCUACUUGCAAUUAAAUCCCUUCCGUUGAAUUCAUACGUACACGUACGAGGCAAAAAUGUCCAUUUCCAAAUACGUCCCAAAGCUUGAUGUCUGGCCUUCACUUCAUUUUCCUUCUCCAUAGAAGCUAGGGUCAUUGUUUCCUUCCCAAACCAAUUCUGUGCCUCCAUUGGAAAUUGCCGAGGGGUUCUUGUGGGAUUUUCAAGUAUCAGAGGGCGAGCAUAUUCGACUGAGACUCUUGGAGUGAAUUCCUUCACGACGACACAGGUCCAUUUGCUGUCAGUGAUGAACACUUCAAUUAAAUACUUCCAAAUUCUUACGAUGCAAUCACUAUAAUGCUCAUGUUCUGGUUUUCACAUCAGCACCAGGUCAAGAAGGGUGUCUGGAUUAAUUAAACUGCACAUUGGUCUAACAACCUGGUGGAACCUGCAGUGAAGGUAACCACUACUACUCGAGCUAUACUAGCAAUCCUAUUGCUCCAACUGCUGCACACGGUCAUGUACUUGUUGGUGCUACUGUUUCAAGUGCUAAAAGAGAGAUUUUGAUCCAGAUAAGGAGGAGGCUGAGCCUGAGGAGACGGCUCCACUAGAGGAUUGAUUUGGAGUUUGGCUUGUUUUAUUUGGAACUUAUUUUUUGUCUUAAAAUUAUGUAUUUCAGAUUUGUGAUUUUAUUGGGACUUGUGAAAUUUUUUACGCUUGUUUUAAGCGAGUUUGUAUUUAAACAAAUUCUAGUACUUAGUUGAAAGACUUUUAUUACCCGUUGCGUUAUUUUUAGUAUACAUGUGUUACUUGUACACACACUUGGCACUUAGGAAUGUGAUGCGUGAUCCGUGUUGUCAUCAUCUCGAUAGCUCGAUUCUCAUGUUUCUAUACGUGGGAGUUGGGGGUGUCACAGCAGUGAUGCUUGUGGUAGGUUAGUAUGUUUAGGUUAAGUGGGGCCAUUGUCUUGGCAAGUGAACUUUAAGUAAGAGUAAUGUAACUUUCCUUCUUUAUUUGCUCAAGUAUGUUCA